Molecule: long non-coding RNA, 1288 nt
Organism: Triticum dicoccoides
Lineage: Eukaryota; Viridiplantae; Streptophyta; Magnoliopsida; Poales; Poaceae
Exons: 5
Source: RefSeq, a predicted model, not a curated record
ACUAGCGCGCCCGACGCUCCCUCCGGCGAGCAGCUCCGCGCCACACGAUAGUUGCCCCACGCCCACGGUCAUCCGGCAGCGGCGGCGCCAAUGGAUCCAACGACAUUAGCCUCCGGCAGCGGCGGUGCUUCUGGCUACCCUGACGUGCCCCACUCCAGCUCCUCCCCUUCCUGGUGAACAAAUUUACUGUUUGAGGCUCCCUGCUGGAUGUCGGUGCCGGAGGGGAACAGACACCAUCGUCUCCCCGCGCCCAUAGACUUCUCUUCUCUCCUGCAACGCAAGGUUGAUUUUCCUCUUAAACAUUCACAUGGAAAAGAAUAGGGCUACUCCUUACACAUUGUGUGCUGGCGUCAGAACAUGUUAUACUCCAACAGAAGUUCAGCAGGGACAUAUAGACAGAGUGAUGUGUUGUGUGCUGUUAGUUCAUAAAAGUUCAGGAACUAGAGAUUCAACAUACAAUCAAUGUAUAAUAAUAUCUCCUGUUUUGCUCAUUUUUUCUUCCGAAAACAUCACCAUGUUUUUCUUCCCAAUAACGAUGGCUAUAUUGGUCACCGCAACGUAAGUACAGUUCUAGGUUCCAGCUUUUGAUCCAUUCUCUUAUUUUAUUGCACUAAAACAUGCUUGAACCAUGUUUGGGAAUAUGUUAGAUAGCUCCAGCACAGGUGACUCCGUUUGCACUUGUACUUCUCAAGUGGGAGCUAUGUGUACUAAUUAUUUUGCUAGCAAACCUAAGUCUUAUUCUGUGCAUGUGUACUUGUACUUCUUAACUUGUUCUAGCAAAUAUAUGUGAAAACUAGGUAGCAUUUCUUCACACUUUUGGUGGGAAAAAUAUUGUUAAAACAUGUUUCUUCAAAUGGGAGUUAAUCAAAAAAUUGGCAGAGGCAGUGUAGGAGUAGCAGCCACGUCAUGGACGGUGAAAUGCGAACAAGGUUUCAGUCGGGGUGGUCUACACCAACUACCUUCAGCUAGGAGGACAGAAAAUAGUAGUAGGAUGAAUACAUUGGCCUUACCGGUCUGUCCAGCAACUUCAUUCCACGCCGUUAUGUUCCUAUGUUUGGAGAGACGAACGAUGAUCCGAACCGUCAGUACGCGCCUAUACCGACGGGAGAACAACUUGAGGCACUUGGAAUAGGUAUAGAGAAGAGGAAUAUCUUCCUAGGACUGCCUCUUCACUGACAAAGACAAGAAGACCGGCAGCAUCCUCAGUCAGGUGUGCGCGGCGAGCGGCUACUGAACUAGCACAAAGGAUACCAAGCAGGCUAAGGGUGAAGUACACAAUGCAGGCAAU